Molecule: ribosomal RNA, 749 nt
Filed under: uncultured Capnocytophaga sp.
Lineage: Bacteria; Pseudomonadati; Bacteroidota; Flavobacteriia; Flavobacteriales; Flavobacteriaceae
Description: bacterial SSU rRNA
Rfam family: Bacterial small subunit ribosomal RNA
Source: RNAcentral
GAUGAACGCUAGCGGCAGGCCUAACACAUGCAAGUCGAGGGAGAGGUUAUCUUCGGGUAACCAAAACCGGCGCACGGGUGCGUAACGCGUAUACAAUCUGCCUUUCACAUAGGGAUAGCCCGAAGAAAUUUGGAUUAAUACCUAAUGGUAUAUAGGAGCGGCAUCGUUUUUAUAUUAAAGCUACGGUGGUGAAAGAUGAGUAUGCGUUCUAUUAGCUAGUUGGAGAGGUAACGGCUCCCCAAGGCGACGAUAGAUAGGGGUUCUGAGAGGGAUGUCCCCCACACUGGUACUGAGAUACGGACCAGACUCCUACGGGAGGCAGCAGUGAGGAAUAUUGGACAAUGGUCGGAAGACUGAUCCAGCCAUGCCGCGUGCAGGAUGAAGGUCCUAUGGAUUGUAAACUGCUUUUGUAAGGGAAGAAUAAGGAGUACGUGUACUUUGAUGACGGUACCUUACGAAUAAGCAUCGGCUAACUCCGUGCCAGCAGCCGCGGUAAUACGGAGGAUGCGAGCGUUAUCCGGAAUCAUUGGGUUUAAAGGGUCCGUAGGCGGGCUGAUAAGUCAGAGGUGAAAGCGCUUAGCUCAACUAAGCAACUGCCUUUGAAACUGUCAGUCUUGAAUGAUUGUGAAGUAGUUGGAAUGUGUAGUGUAGCGGUGAAAUGCUUAGAUGUUACACAGAACACCGAUAGCGAAGGCAUAUUACUAACAAUUUAUUGACGCUGAUGGACGAAAGCGUGGGGAGCGAACAGG